GUCUUAAUGGAAUAAACAUGUCAGAAAUUAAUGUAAUGACAUUUAGUAAAUGGAUUUCUAUAUCGUCCAACAUAUUAUUUACAAUGGAGGAGCGCCAAAAUGGCUGCACGGUGGCUUCAAUACAGCCCCCCCCCUGUCAGCCAUCCAGGGUUUAUACACAUCAUUAAGGAGAGACAAAAUGGCUGCAAUAGAGCACCCCCCUGUCAGCCAUCCAGGGUUUAUACACAUCAUUAAGGAGAGCCAAAAUGGCUUCAAUACAGCACCCCCCUGUCAGCCAUCCAGGGUUUAUACACAUCAUUAAGGAGAGCCAAAAUGGCUGCAAUACAGCACCCCCUGUCAGCCAUCCAGGGUUUAUACACAUCAUUAAGGAGAGCCAAAAUGGCUGCACGGUGGCUUCAAUACAGCACCCCCCUGUCAGCCAUCCAGGGUUUAUACACAUCAUUAAGGAGAGCCAAAAUGGCUUCAAUACAGCACCCCCCUGUCAGCCAUCCAGGGUUUAUACACAUCAUUAAGGAGAGCCAAAAUGGCUGCAAUACAGCACCCCCCUGUCAGCCAUCCAGGGUUUAUACACAUCAUUAAGGAGAGCCAAAAUGGCUGCAAUACAACACCCACCUGUCAGCCAUCCAGGGUUUAUACACAUCAUUAAGGAGAGCCAAAAUGGCUGCACGGUGGCUUCAAUACCAUCAACAAAACACCAAAUGAUGGAAUUUCCUCGUGGAAGAAUGGCGUCUCAUCCCUCCGAUAGACUUCCCAGACACUUGUAGAAUCGAUGUCAAGGUGUAUUAAAGCUGUUCUGGUUGGUGGAGGACCCGACGUCCUAUUAAAACACUGUUGGAGUUUCCUUUAUUCUCCCAGUUACCUGGUGGUUGGUGGAGGACCUGGAGUUUCCUUUAUUCUGCCAGUUACCUGGUGGACGACCCGACCUCCUAUUAAAACACUGUUGGAGUUUCCUUUAUUCUGCCAGUUACCUGGUGGACGACCCGACCUCUUAUUAAAACACUGUUGGAGUUUCCUUUAUUCUGCCAGUUACCUGGUGGACGACCCGACCUCCUAUUAAAACACUAUGUUGGAGUUUCCUUUAUUCUGCCAGUUACCUGGUGGACGACCCGACCUCCUAUUAAAACACUAUGUUGGAGUUUCCUUUAUUCUGCCAGUUACCUGGUGGUUGGUGGACCUGGAGUUUCCUUUAUUCUGCCAGUUACCUGGUGGACGACCCGACCUCCUAUUAAAACACUGUUGGUGUUUCCUUUAUUCUGCCAGUUACCUGGUGGUUGGUGGAGGACCUGGAGUUUCCUUUAUUCUGCCAGUUACCUGGUGGACGACCCGACGUCCUAUUAAAACACUGUUGGAGUUUCCUUUAUUCUGCCAGUUACCUGGUGGACGACCCGACCUCCUAUUAAAACACUGUUGGAGUUUCCUUUAUUCUGCCAGUUACCUGGUGGUUGGUGGACCUGGAGUUUCCUUUAUUCUGCCAGUUACCUGGUGGACGACCCGACCUAUUAAAACACUAUGUUGGAGUUUCCUUUAUUCUGGCAGUUACCUGGUGGUUGGUGGAGGACCUGGAGUUUCCUUUAUUCUGCCAGUUACCUCCUAUUAAAACACUUUAUGUUGCUGUUUCCUUCACAAGGUUCAUUUCCAUCUUGCUGUUUGUUGAAAGGUCAAGAUGUUUGGAUGUGUAUUUUAUUCUUCUGAUUGUUACAGAUUGGCUAAAUGCAGACAAAAUGCAACCCAAAACAGUCUUACCACAGUGUGCUUAUUGUGUGUGUGUGUGUGUGUGUGUGUGUGUGUGUGCGUGUGCUUAUUGUGUGUGUGUGUGUGUUGCGUCAGGUCUGCUUUCACCUAGUUAUGUAUAGCUGUUGUGUUUCAAUGUCAAAGUAUUAUUCAGGUCCUGAGGGCCAAAACAUUUCUGCUUUCUCUUCCUACCUGAUGUCCCCAGGUCUGAAUGAGUCUCUCUACCUGAUGUCCCCAGGUCUGAAUGAGUCUCUCUACCUGAUGUCCCCAGGUCUGAAUUAGUCCCAGGUCUGAAUGAGUCUCUCUACCUGAUGUCCCCAGGUCUGAAUGAGUCUCUCUACCUGAUGUCCCCAGGUCUGAAUGAGUCUCUCUACCUGAUGUCCCCAGGUCUGAAUUAGUCCCAGGUCUGAAUGAGUCUCUCUACCUGAUGUCCCCAGGUCUGAAUGAGUCUCUCUACCUGAUGUCCCCAGGUCUGAAUGAGUCUCUCUACCUGAUGUCCCCAGGUCUGAAUGAGUCCCAGGUCUGAAUGAGUCUCUCUACCUGAUGUCCCCAGGUCUGAAUGAGUCCCAGGUCUGAAUGAGUCUCUCUACCUGAUGUCCCCAGGUCUGAAUGAGUCUCUCUACCUGAUGUCCCCAGGUCUGAAUGAGUCUCAGGUCUGAAUGAGUCUCAACCUGUUGUCCCCAGGUCUGAAUGAGUCUCGGGUCUGAACGAGUCUCGGAUUACAGGUAGAGGAUGAGAACCAGUAGUGUUUCGUCCCUCCAGGACCAGAAAGAAAUAGCCCUUGGCUAGAUUCAAUCUGAUCCGCAGAAGAUCCGGGUUAUAGUUCACCUUUAAAAAAACCAAAAAGGUAAUUUAGGAUUGAGCCUACUGUUAACGUGGAAACUUUACCUUUUAAUAAGGUGCACAGCCGAAAAGAGGAGAUCGGAUUUGAAUCUAGGAACAGCUUCCUCCCUCCAGUCCUAACGAGGGGUGAGAGAUAUAUAUAUAUAUAUGGGUCCCGUGUGGCUCAGUUGGUAGAGCAUGGGUGUUUGCAACGCCAGGGUUGUGGGUUCGAUUCCCACGGGGGACCAAUACGGGGGGGGGAAAUGUCUGAAAUGUAUGCAUUCACUACUGUAAGUCGCUCUGGAUAAGAGCGUCUGCUAAAAUGACUAAAAUGUAAAUGUUAAUAACUGAUCUAGGAUCAGUUUCCUCCCUCCAGUCCUAACAGGUCACCAUUAGAGAGGUGAUAUAUAUAUAUAACUGAUCUAGGACCAGUGUUGAACAGGUCACCAUUAGAGAGGUGAUAUAUAUAUAUAUAUGACUGAUCUAGGAUCAGUCCUAACGGGUCACCAUUAGAGAGGUGAUAUAUAUAUAUAUAUAUAUAACUGAUCUAGGACCAGUGUUGAACAGGUCACCAUUAGAGAGGUGAUAUAUAUAUAUAUAUAUAUAUAACUGAUCUAGGACCAGUGUUAAACAGAGCUGAAUGUCUGUCUGGUUCAUACCAUUUAUGAUGCUGAUGUAUUGUUAUUAUAAUGACAUUAAAUUAUUGAAUGUUUC
RNAcentral lists this long non-coding RNA (3267 nucleotides) under Salmo salar (Atlantic salmon). Its description in RNAcentral is "lncRNA (ENSSSAG00000112056.1)". The stretch from base 2831 to 2885 matches the Rfam family "UnaL2 LINE 3' element". Lineage: Eukaryota; Metazoa; Chordata; Actinopteri; Salmoniformes; Salmonidae. The record is from RNAcentral.